GCAGUGGUGGUUCAGUGGUAGAAUUCUCACUUUCCAUGCAGGAGGGCUAGGUUAGACUCCCGGCCAAUGUA
RNAcentral lists this transfer RNA (71 nucleotides) under Loxodonta africana (African savanna elephant). It matches the Rfam family "tRNA". Rfam says of the family: Transfer RNA (tRNA) molecules are approximately 80 nucleotides in length. Their secondary structure includes four short double-helical elements and three loops (D, anti-codon, and T loops). The record is from Rfam by way of RNAcentral. Lineage: Eukaryota; Metazoa; Chordata; Mammalia; Proboscidea; Elephantidae.